UACAGAGGUCCCAAGCGUUGUCCGGAAUCAUUGGGCGUAAAGCGCGUGUAGGCGGCUCGAUAAGUCUGCUGUGAAAGUCCAGGGCUCAACCCUGGAAUGCCGGUGGAAACUGUCGGGCUAGAGUCCGGAAGAGGCGAGUGGAAUUCCUGGUGUAGCGGUGAAAUGCGCAGAUAUCAGGAGGAACACCAAUGGCGAAGGCAGCUCGCUGGGACGGUACUGACGCUGAGACGCGAAAGCGUGGGGAGCAAACAGG
Molecule: ribosomal RNA, 253 nt
Filed under: uncultured bacterium
Lineage: Bacteria
Description: partial 16S ribosomal RNA
Rfam family: Bacterial small subunit ribosomal RNA
Source: RNAcentral